AGGUUAAACAGAAAGAGCGUAGGGUGGAUGCCUUGGCACUAAGAGCCGAAGAAGGACGUGACAAGCUGCGAAAAGCUGCGGGUAGGAGCAAAUAUCCAAUGAUCCGCAGAUAUCCGAAUGGGGAAACCUGCUGCAGAAGAGCUGCAGCGACUGUACAUGAAUCCAUAGUGUGCAGCCGGGAACCCGCUGAACUGAAACAUCUAAGUAGGCGGAGGAAGAGAAAACAACAGUGAUUCCGUAAGUAGCGGCGAGCGAAAGCGGAGGAGCCCAAACCAUGGUGCGUGCACCAUGGGGUAAGGACUGCAAAAAGAGAGUAUUCCGUUAUCAGAAAGGACCUGGAAAGUCCUGCCAGAGAGGGUGAGAGCCCCGUAAGAGAAAAUGGGAUACAAUCCGGCAGAAUCCGGAGUACCACGAGACACGUGAAACCUUGUGGGAAGGCGGGGGGACCACCCCCCAAGGCUAAAUACUACUUAGUGACCGAUAGCGCAUAGUACUGUGAAGGAAAGGUGAAAAGGACCCCGGGAGGGGAGUGAAAGAGAACCUGAAACCCUAUGUUUACAUACAGUGGAAGUA
RNAcentral lists this ribosomal RNA (573 nucleotides) under Moryella indoligenes. RNAcentral describes it as "partial 23S ribosomal RNA". It matches the Rfam family "Bacterial large subunit ribosomal RNA", at positions 1 to 581 of the family's 2925-position model. Lineage: Bacteria; Bacillati; Bacillota; Clostridia; Lachnospirales; Lachnospiraceae. The record is from RNAcentral.